This 487-nucleotide ribosomal RNA is filed under the name uncultured bacterium. Its description in RNAcentral is "bacterial SSU rRNA". It matches the Rfam family "Bacterial small subunit ribosomal RNA", at positions 28 to 533 of the family's 1533-position model. The record is from RNAcentral.
GAUGAACGCUGGCGGCGUGCUUAACACAUGCAAGUCGAACGAUUAAAGCCCCUUCGGGGGUGUAUAGAGUGGCGAACGGGUGAGUAACACGUGGGCAACCUGCCCUUUUCAUCGGGAUAACUCGGAGAAAUCCAAGCUAAUACCGGAUACUCCUUUCCUGCGGCAUCGUGGGAUCGGGAAAGCUUUUGCGGAAAAAGGAUGGGCCCGCGGUCUAUUAGCUAGUUGGUGAGGUAACGGCCCACCAAGGCUACGAUAGAUAGCCGGGUUGAGAGACCGACCGGCCACAUUGGGACUGAGACACGGCCCAGACUCCUACGGGAGGCAGCAGUGGGGAAUUUGCGCAAUGGGGGAAACCCUGACGCAGCAACGCCGCGUGCGGGAUGAAGGCCUUCGGGUUGUAACCGCUUUCAGUAGGGAAGAAAAUAGACGGUACCUACAGAAGAAGCUCCGGCUAACUACGUGCCAGCAGCGCGUAAAAUCACGUGUA